UACGUAGGGUGCAAGCGUUAAUCGGAAUUACUGGGCGUAAAGCGUGCGCAGGCGGUUGUGCAAGACCGCUGUGAAAUCCCCGGGCUUAACCUGGGAAUGGCAUUGGUGACUGCACGGCUAGAGUGUGUCAGAGGGGUGUAGAAUUCCACGUGUAGCAGUGAAAUGCGUAGAGAUGUGGAGGAAUACCGAUGGCGAAGGCAGCCCCCUGGGAUAACACUGACGCUCAUGCACGAAAGCGUGGGGAGCAAACAGG
RNAcentral lists this ribosomal RNA (253 nucleotides) under uncultured bacterium. RNAcentral's name for it is "partial 16S ribosomal RNA". It matches the Rfam family "Bacterial small subunit ribosomal RNA", at positions 524 to 776 of the family's 1533-position model. The record is from RNAcentral.